Molecule: long non-coding RNA, 4760 nt
Filed under: Sus scrofa (pig)
Lineage: Eukaryota; Metazoa; Chordata; Mammalia; Artiodactyla; Suidae
Description: lncRNA (ENSSSCG00040071259.1)
Source: RNAcentral
AAAUUUGAAAUAUAACAUUUAUAUAGGUAUAGAUAGCUCACUGGACCAGAUACAUAAAGGAAUUUAGUAUAUGGUGAAGGCAGCUGAAUUAGUGAAGGCUAUUAAAUCAGUGACAGAAGUUGAGUCAAACUAGCUUAAGCAAACAGAUUACUUAACUAUGAAAUUGAAGUCAGGUAGAACUGGAAACCAUGCAAAUGAUGUCAUCACAGCUCUGUUUCUUUUCAUUGUUAAGCUUUGCUUUUUCUUCCAUACUGAUUUCAUUUUCAAGGAGUUCUCUCUGAGAUAGAAAAAGAUGACCAAUACCUGGCCUUUUGCCUUUCUCCGUGGUAAAAUUACUUAGCCAAUAAAGCUGAUAUUUCCAGAGGAAUACAAACUUGAGUAAAGAUUAGACAUUUAAGGAGAUAAACAAUAUUGAAGAAAUUAAAUACGUUGACUAAACAAUAGAAUAAGAUAUAAAGAGGAGUUCCCAUUGUGGCUCAGCAUGUUGUGAACCAAACUAGUGUCUAUGAGGAUGUAAGUUCGAUCCCUGGCCUUGCUCAGUGGAUUAAGGAUCCAGCGUUGCCAUGAGCUAUGGUGUAAGUCACAGAUGCAGUUUUGAUUCUGAGUUGCUGUGGCUGUGGCACAGGCCAGCAGCUGCAGUUCCAAUUCAGCCCCUAACCUGGAAAUUUCCAUAUGCUAUUGAUGUGGCCCUAAAAAAUAAAAAAAGAAGAUGCAAAGAAAUGUCAAGAACAAAAAUUUUAAAUAAACAUAAUAAAGAGCCUCAAAGUGAUAAGGGAUAAUAUUGAAAACAUGAAGGAAGAAUAAAAAGUUAUAAAGGGAAAGUACUGGGUAUGAAAAGUAUAAUUAUUGAAAUAAAGAACUGAAAAAAAGGUAGUUUGAAGAGAGUAGCUAGCAGAUAUACAAAAAAAAAAAAAGGAAAUGAGAAAGGAACUGAAAUGGUUAACAAAUGAGAAAGGAAAGGAAAUGAUUAACUAAAAAAAAAUAGAACCCAAAAGAAUACAGUAAUGCAAGAAAUGAAGGGUGAAAAAGCUAUAAGGCAUAUAGAAAACAAAUAGCAAAAUGACAGGAGUCCCUCCUUAUCAAUAACAACUAAUGGUUUAAACUCUCCAGUCAAUAGACAUAUUCCCUCAUGGUUCAGUGGGUUAAGGAUCCGGUGUUGUCACUGCUAUGGCUCUGGUUACAGCUGUGGCAUAGGUUUGAUCCCUAGCCUGGGAACUUCUGCAUACCACGAGUGUAACAACAGGGAAAAAAGACAGAGUGACAAAAUGAAUUAAAGAAAAAAUGUGAUCCAACUAGACACUGUCUAUGAAAGACUCACUUUAGAUCCAAAGAGCCAAGUAGAUUGAAAGUGGAAGAAUGGAAAGAGAUAUUUCAUGCAAACAAUAACCAAAAGAGAACAGAAGUAACUACUUAAUAUCAAAGAAAAUAGACUUUUUUUUGGCCACAUCCAUGGCAUGUGGAAGUUCUAUAGCAGUGACCUGAGCUGCAGCAGUGAUAACACUGGAUCCUUAACCCAAUACACCACAUGGGAACUCCAAAUAGACUUAAAAAAAAUUUUUUUAAGUUUAGGUUACAACAGUCAUGGACAUUAUACAUUAAUAAAAUGUCAAAUAUGGCAAGAAGAAAACAAUUAUAAAAAUUAUGCACAUAAUGAUUAUCAAAAUAUAUGAAGCAAAAAUUAACAGAACUGAGGGAGAAAUAGUUCUACAAUAAUAGGUGCAGACUUUAAUACUCGAGUCAGGAUAAUGGAAAAAACAACCACAAAGAAGAUAAGGAAAUAGAAGACUUGAGCAACAUAAUAAAUUGACUAGAUCUAACAGGUGUUUAUAGAACACUUUACCCAACAAUAAAAUACACAUGUUUCUCAAGUGCAGAUAGCACACUUUCCAGGAGAGACUAUGUGUUAGGUAACUAGUUUCAGUGGACCUAAGUAUAAACAUCUUCUCUGACCACUGUGGAAAUCAAUCACAGGAGAAAACCUGGAAAAUACACAAAGCUACAAUAGUCAAAACAGUGUGGGAGUUCCUGGUGGCCUAGCAGUUAAAGAUUCAGUGUUGUCAUUGCUGUGGCUCAGGGUUUGACCCUUGGCCCAGCAACUUCUGCAUGCCAUGGUCAUGGCCAAAAAAAAUAAAGAGGUGAAUGUAUUUGAAAAAACAAAACAGUGUAGUACUAGCAUAAAGACAAACAUAUAGAACAUUGGGGAAUUCCUGUUGUGGCUCAGCAGGUUAUGAACAUGAUGUUGUCUCUGUGAGGAUAUGGGUUUGAUCCUUGGCCUCACUCAGUGAGUUAAGGAUCAGGCACUGCUGCAGGACAGUGCAGUUUGCAGAUGUGGCUCAGAUCCAGUGUUGCUAUGGCUGUGGCUUAGGUGCAGCUCUGAUUUGACCUCUAGCCUGGAAACUUCCAUACGCCCAGGUGUAGCCAUAAAAAAGAAAAAAAAAGCAAUGAAAUAGAAUAGAGAGCCCAGAAAUAGACUCUCACAUAUGUGGUCACAUGAUUUGCAACAAGAGUUUGAAGACCAUUUAAAAGGAAAAAUCUUUUCAUUGAAUGGUGCUGAGAAAACUGGAUAUCUACAUGUAAAAGAAUGAAGUUGGACUCUUACCUAACACCAUCAACAAAAAUUAAAACAAAAUGAAUGACCUAAGUGUAAGAUCUAAAACUAUAAAACUCUUAAAAGAAAACAUUGGGCACAGCUUCAAGACAUUGGAUUUGGCAAUAAUUUCUUAAUAUGACACCAAAUGUACAUAUUUAAAAAAAGAAGAAAUAGGAGUUCCCUUGUGGCACAGCAGGUUAAAACUCUGGCAUUGUCACUGCAGCAGCCCAGGUUUGAUCCCUGACCCAGGAAUUUCCACAUGCCAGGGGGCAAGGCCAAAAAGAAAAAAGGAAAAAGAAGAAAUAGACAAGUUGGACUUCAUGAAAAAUUUUAAGCUAUGUGAAUCAAAAGAUUGAAGUCAUUAUUAAAAUCUUUAUUGCCAUUUUAUCCUAUUGAUUCACUUUGCUGCAUCUAUAAGAAUGAAGAACAUUCUUAGCAAUCAGACUGUUAACCUCCCCCAAAAUUUCAACAUCCCUCUCAAGGGACAUACAGUUAGUUAUUCUGAAGGGCCUGAAAGGAAUCCUAUGGCCAUGGCAAUCGGAGAAGAAAAAUAAAUAAAAGGAAUCCAAAUUGGAAAGGAAGAAGCAAAACUAUCACUAUUUGCAGAUGACAUGAUAUUAUACCUAGAAAAUCCUAAAGACUCUACCAGAAAACUCUUAGAGCUCAUCAAUGAAUUUGGAAAAGCCAUAGGAUACAAAAUUAAUACACAAAUAUCAACUGCAUUUCUAUACACUAACAAUGAAAAAUCAGAAAGAGGAGUUCCCAUCGUGUGGCUCUAAAAAAAAUAAAUGAAGACAAACUGGAGAGACAGACAGGCAGACACAGAAGAGUCACAGUUAGUGGGAUCAGAAGCCUAGGAGAAAACUGCCACUGAAGCCAGCUCCAGUAGAAACACUUUAAGCUGUAAUGAAAAAUUUGCUGGAUUGCUGGUGUGGACAAGCUUGAGUUACAAACUCCAGGGGGCCCACUCCCUUCCUCCUUGGGGAGGGUUCACCCUUUUGUUAAGUUUUACCUCCAGGACCCCUGCUAAGUUCUCACAGUGGAAGACUGGAGACAAACCGCUUCCUGUGCUUUCAGCAGUAGGAGGAGAUAAGUAACCAUUCUGAACUACUUCCCUAUCUCUCUGUUCUCCUUAACAAGGCCUGGGCUCAAGGGAAACCAUUUUGCCAGGUCUAAUUGACUAGGGUUUUACUAAAGCCCAACUGACCUGGGGGAAGGGAAGUACCCACAUCAGGCUAACCCAAAGACCUAACCUGACUGUAGAAAGCUUCCUCUCCCCAGACCUUGCCACCACCUCCAGAGGGGCUCCUGUAUGAUAACAGGAUCACAGGUAAAAGGAACAAAAGCCUGACCUUAUCUAAUGGGCCUCUAGGGACACCCAAGACAACAAGAGAGACCAAACAAGAACACCAGAGGGAAUUUCAGCCUCUGAAACCACAGCUACAGAGAAGAGUAAACACGGAGAAGAGUAAAACUCCUAGACAGUUAAAACUCCCAACUAAAGGUCUACGGUCUUGGAGUUCCCUUCAUAGUGUAGCAGAAACAAAUCUGACUAGGAACCAUGAAGUUAUGGGUUCGAUCCCUGGCCUCGAUCACUGGGUUAAGGAUACGGUGUGGCUGUGAGCUGUGGUGUAGGUCACAGAUGUUCCAAUCCCAUGUUGCUGUGGCUGUGGCCUAGGCUGGCAGCUGUAGCUUCAAUUAGACCCCUAGCCUGGGAACCUCCAUAUGCCAUGGGUGUGGCCCUAAAAAAGCAAUAAUAAUAAUAAGGGCCUAUCCCAUGUCAGGGGUGCCCUCGCUCUGGGUAAGGUUCUCUUCUUUCCUGGGAGCUCCGGUCACCCUGGAUGCUUGGCUGACCUCUGCCUGGUUUCCCCCUUCCCACACCGCAGCCUGGCAACCCUCAAAGCAGUGCGCUGGGGCACUCAGACCUCUUCUCAUCUGUUCCUCACUUGUUGGCAUCCCUUGUCCCUUGUGCCUUGAAAAUCAUUACGUCAUAUAUUUUGCUCGGGUUUUAGUUAUUUGUUUUUGUUUUAGGCAGGAUUGCAAAUCUGGUUUUUAGCUUUGGCAUAAGCAGAAGUCUCUUUAAUUUUAAUAUCUAGAAUAGAUUCUUUGCAAGUGUGUUUGAGAUCACCCUGUUAAACAGAUGGCAUGAAACAUCAUCUGGCCACCAUAU